This 543-nucleotide ribosomal RNA is filed under the name uncultured Glomeromycotina. RNAcentral describes it as "SSU rRNA". It matches the Rfam family "Eukaryotic small subunit ribosomal RNA", at positions 555 to 1098 of the family's 1831-position model. Lineage: Eukaryota; Fungi; Glomeromycota. The record is from RNAcentral.
GGAAGUCUGGUGCCAGCAGCCGCGGUAAUUCCAGCUCCAAUAGCGUAUAUUAAAGUUGUUGCAGUUAAAAAGCUCGUAGUUGAAUUUCGGGAUCAAUAUUUCGGUCAUGCCGUUGGUAUGCACUGUUAUCAUUGAUUUCUCACCUUCUAAAGAACCAUAAUGCCAUUAAUUUGGUGUUACGGGGAAUUAGGACUGUUACCUUGAAAAAAUUAGAGUGUUCAAAGCAGGCUCACGCUUGAAUACAUUAGCAUGGAAUAAUGAAAUAGGACAUCCGAUUCUAUUUUGUUGGUUCCUAGGAUCGAUGUAAUGAUUAAUAGGGAUAGUUGGGGGCAUUAGUAUUCAAUUGUCAGAGGUGAAAUUCUUGGAUUUAUUGAAGACUAACUACUGCGAAAGCAUUUGCCAAGGAUGUUUUCAUUAAUCAAGAACGAAAGUUAGGGGAUCGAAGACGAUCAGAUACCGUCGUAGUCUUAACCAUAAACUAUGCCGACUAGGGAUCGGAUGAUGUUAAUUUUUUAAUGACUCAUUCGGCGCCUUACGGGAAAC